AGUGAACGCUGGCGGUAGGCCUAACACAUGCAAGUCGAACGGCAGCACAGUAAGAGCUUGCACUUACGGGUGGCGAGUGGCGGACGGGUGAGGAAUACAUCGGAAUCUACUUUUUCGUGGGGGAUAACGUAGGGAAACUUACGCUAAUACCGCAUACGACCUACGGGUGAAAGCAGGGGAUCUUCGGACCUUGCGCGAUUGAAUGAGCCGAUGUCGGAUUAGCUAGUUGGCGGGGUAAAGGCCCACCAAGGCGACGAUCCGUAGCUGGUAUGAGAGGAUGAUCAGCCACACUGGAACUGAGACACGGUCCAGACUCCUACGGGAGGCAGCAGUGGGGAAUAUUGGACAAUGGGCGCAAGCCUGAUCCAGCCAUACCGCGUGGGUGAAUAAGGCCUUCGGGUUGUAAAGCCCUUUUGUUGGGAAAGAAAAGCAGCAGGUUAAUACCCCGCUGUUCUGACGGUACCCAAAGAAUAAGCACCGGCUAACUUCGUG
Molecule: ribosomal RNA, 492 nt
Filed under: uncultured bacterium
Lineage: Bacteria
Description: partial 16S ribosomal RNA
Rfam family: Bacterial small subunit ribosomal RNA
Source: RNAcentral